AGAGUUUGAUCCUGGCUCAGAUUGAACGCUGGCGGUAUGCUUUACACAUGCAAGUCGAACGGGCUAUGGGGCUUGCUCCAUAGUUAGUGGCGAACGGGUGAGUAAUAUAUCGGAACAUAUCCGGAAGUGGGGGAUAACGUAGCGAAAGUUACGCUAAUACCGCAUAUGCCCCGAGGGGGAAAGGGGGGGAUCGCAAGACCUCUCGCUUUCGGAGUGGCCGAUAUCGGAUUAGCUAGUUGGUGAGGUAAAGGCUCACCAAGGCGACGAUCCGUAGCUGGUCUGAGAGGACGACCAGCCACACUGGAACUGAGACACGGUCCAGACUCCUACGGGAGGCAGCAGUGGGGAAUUUUGGACAAUGGGCGCAAGCCUGAUCCAGCCAUACCGCGUGAGUGAAGAAGGCCUUCGGGUUGUAAAGCUCUUUCAGCCGGAAAGAAAUUGCUUCUAUUAAUACUAGGAGUAGAUGACGGUACCGGAAGAAGAAGCACCGGCUAACUACGUGCCAGCAGCCGCGGUAAUACGUAGGGUGCGAGCGUUAAUCGGAAUUACUGGGCGUAAAGCGUGCGCAGGCGGUUUGGUAAGACAGACGUGAAAUCCCCGGGCUUAACCUGGGAACUGCGUUUGUGACUGUCAGACUAGAGUGUAGCAGAGGGGGGUAGAAUUCCACGUGUAGCAGUGAAAUGCGUAGAUAUGUGGAGGAAUACCAAUGGCGAAGGCAGCCCCCUGGGUUAACACUGACGCUCAUGCACGAAAGCGUGGGGGAGCAAACAGGAUUAGAUACCCUGGUAGUCCACGCCCUA
RNAcentral lists this ribosomal RNA (800 nucleotides) under uncultured bacterium. RNAcentral's name for it is "bacterial SSU rRNA". It matches the Rfam family "Bacterial small subunit ribosomal RNA", at positions 8 to 804 of the family's 1533-position model. The record is from RNAcentral.